GAUGAACGCUCGCUACAGGCUUAACACAUGCAAGUCGAGGGGAAACGACAUCGAAAGCUUGCUUUUGAUGGGCGUCGACCGGCGCACGGGUGAGUAACGCGUAUCCAACCUGCCCACCACUUGGGGAUAACCUUGCGAAAGUAAGACUAAUACCCAAUGAUAUCCCACGAAGACAUCUGAAUGGGAUUAAAGAUUUAUCGGUGAUGGAUGGGGAUGCGUCUGAUUAGCUUGUUGGCGGGGUAACGGCCCACCAAGGCAACGAUCAGUAGGGGUUCUGAGAGGAAGGUCCCCCACAUUGGAACUGAGACACGGUCCAAACUCCUACGGGAGGCAGCAGUGAGGAAUAUUGGUCAAUGGGCGAGAGCCUGAACCAGCCAAGUAGCGUGCAGGAAGACGGCCCUAUGGGUUGUAAACUGCUUUUAGAAGGGAAUAAAGUGGGUCACGUGUGACUUUUUGCAUGUACCUUAUGAAUAAGGACCGGCUAAUUCCGUG
RNAcentral lists this ribosomal RNA (492 nucleotides) under uncultured bacterium. Its description in RNAcentral is "partial 16S ribosomal RNA". It matches the Rfam family "Bacterial small subunit ribosomal RNA", at positions 28 to 507 of the family's 1533-position model. The record is from RNAcentral.